UCUCGGCUUAUCACCGGCAGUCCCUCUAGAGUGCCCAACUGAAUGAUGGCAACUAGGGGCGAGGGUUGCGCUCGUUGCGGGACUUAACCCAACAUCUCACGACACGAGCUGACGACAGCCAUGCAGCACCUGUCUCCAGGUUCCCGAAGGCACCCCCACAUCUCUGCGAGGUUCCUAGGAUGUCAAGACCAGGUAAGGUUCUUCGCGUCGCAUCGAAUUAAACCACAUGCUCCACCGCUUGUGCGGGUCCCCGUCAAUUCUUUUGAGUUUUAGCCUUGCGGCCGUACUCCCCAGGCGGAACACUUAACGCGUUGGCUGCGGCACAGAGGGAUUCGACUCCCCCCACACCUAGUGUUCAUCGUUUACGGCAUGGACUAC
This 378-nucleotide unclassified non-coding RNA is filed under the name uncultured bacterium. Its description in RNAcentral is "contains 16S-23S intergenic spacer region". The record is from RNAcentral.